CCGAGUGAGGGCCCUCUGGGUCCAACCUCCCACCCGUGUUUAUCGUACCUUGUUGCUUCGGCGGGCCCGCCGCAAGGCCGCCAGGGGGCGUCCGUCCCCGGGCCCGCGCCCGCCGAAGACACCUGUGAACGCUGUCUGAAGAUUGCAGUCUGAGCGAAUAGUUAAAUUGUUA
This 172-nucleotide unclassified non-coding RNA is filed under the name uncultured Penicillium. RNAcentral describes it as "sequence contains ITS1". Lineage: Eukaryota; Fungi; Ascomycota; Eurotiomycetes; Eurotiales; Aspergillaceae. The record is from RNAcentral.